Molecule: ribosomal RNA, 596 nt
Filed under: uncultured archaeon
Lineage: Archaea
Description: SSU rRNA
Rfam family: Archaeal small subunit ribosomal RNA
Source: RNAcentral
GCGCCAGCAGCCGCGGUAAUACCAGCUCCCCGACUGGUCGGGACGAUUAUGGGUCUAAAGCGUCCGUAGCCGGCCCUGUAUGUGAUCCGUUAAAUCCAGCGGCUCAACCGCUGGGCUGCGGAUCAUACUAUGGGGCUAGGGGACGGGAGAGGCCGGAGUGACUCCCGGGUAGGGGUAAAAUCCGCUGAUCCGCGGAAGACCAACAGUGGCGAAGGCGUCCGGCCAGAACGCGCCCGACGGUGAGGGACGAAAGCCAGGGGAGCGAACCGGAUUAGAUACCCGGGUAGUCCUGGCCGUAAACGAUGCCCGCUAGGUCUUAGUGAAGCUUAGGGCUUCAUCAGGGCCGCAGGGAAGCCGUUAAGCGGGCCACCUGGGGAGUACGGCCGCAAGGCUGAAACUUAAAGGAAUUGGCGGGGGAGCACCACAAGGGGUGAAGCCUGCGGUUUAAUUGGAGUCAACGCCGGGAGCCUUACCAGGGGUGACGGCAGAGUGAAGGUCAGGCUAAAGACCUUACCUGACAAGCCGAGAGGAGGUGCAUGGCCGUCGCCAGCUCGUGCUGUGAAGUGUCCUGUUAAGUCAGGCAACGAGCGAGACCC